GAUGUCAGUGUCCUUAGAAAAAUAUUAUUUUGUGAUUAAAAAAUGGGUCUAAAUAGCACUAAAAAUGGUUCACUGGCUCGUAAUCGUAGGGCACGUUUUUUUUUUUUUUGGGAGGGGGUGGUGUGACAAGAAUACUAACAACAGAACAAAUAUAGAAUAUGUAAAAGAUUCUGGUUUUAAUAGUGCUGAAUGAGUUGCAGACCGGUCCCAUUUGAUAUUAUUUUAGAUUUUCUAAAUCUUUCUCAUAUUUAAUUUUUUAAUACCACCUCAGUGAGUGUGUGAUACAUGUAAAGUAUUUAAAACUGUGAGAAAGUGAUUUAAAAGUUGUAGAGAACUUCAGCUCCCGCCAGUAUUGUAUUGUGUGGUAUUGGUCAUGCUGCAAUCCCAGAUUCAUGCACAUGCUCACAGACACCUGCUAGGAUCUAAUCUGAUAGUUUGGAGAGAGGGAAUAAAGUUACAUUAUAGGAUAUUAUUUUUUCUGCAUCCUCUGUUUCCUGUCCCUGUUUCCACACUUGGCUUGAACUGCAGAAACUGACAGGAAGACUCAGUAGUGUAAAUUACAUGCAUUCACGAUGACCAAGUUGGGUGUCCAGAUUUCUUUGUCUGCAGGUGCUGUGUGUGUUCCAGAUGUGCUGAUUGAUCACGGUUGGGUUUGUUUGGCAGAAGGGACACGAGGAAAGAGAAGAAAGAAAGAGAAAGUGAGAGAGAGAGAGACCAGCGCAUUGUGUGGUGCAGUGGAUUUUUAAAGACAGCUGGCAGAGACAGCGCAGGAAGAAGAUGCCAACGCAAAACUUUUACUGUUUCCUCUCUCUCUCUUUUUCUUUAUCUCUAUUCUUUUCCUCCCUCAUUCUGUUCUUCAGGAAAUGCGAUGCUGAAUGAAAUCUAUUGACGGCCUCUGGUCUGGUCUCUACUGCCUCGGCAACAGUUGUCCGGGACUCAGGUUCAGCAUAUGGAAGCGUUCUGCGCUGUAUAAUCACUGCUAAUUUCUCAGCAAAUAAGUCAACAUAGACUCCUUUGAAUCACACACCAUUUACGACUGGCUAUGAACAGACAGCAUUCCUGUGUUCAGCUGCUCUUUGGAUGUGAUAGAGUUUAUCAUUCGCUCUCUUCUGGAAGUUCAAUGGAUCACAGACACACUGUUGCACACAUUCCACAUUAGAUAGACGCAGAUCUAAACAGAUAGAUCAUUCCUUCACGCAUGCAUGGGUUUGGCUGCUGAAUAAAGAAGUCGCUAUAUCAGCAAGAUCUCAGGACUGCUUAAGAGGUCAGUUUGAAAUAUUGCAUUGAAUUUAAGAAACAGCGAUGAAAUAUGUAUAAUGCAUGAUUGGGCCCUCCUGCAUGUUGAUGGUUUAUUUAGCAAUCUUCUUGAGUUAGAUAUGUUCCAAUUACACUGUCAAAAUAUGGUC
Molecule: long non-coding RNA, 1406 nt
Organism: Misgurnus anguillicaudatus (oriental weatherfish)
Lineage: Eukaryota; Metazoa; Chordata; Actinopteri; Cypriniformes; Cobitidae
Source: RefSeq, a predicted model, not a curated record